Molecule: ribosomal RNA, 403 nt
Filed under: Verrucomicrobiota bacterium
Lineage: Bacteria; Pseudomonadati; Verrucomicrobiota
Description: Verrucomicrobia bacterium partial 16S ribosomal RNA
Rfam family: Bacterial small subunit ribosomal RNA
Source: RNAcentral
UGGGGAAUAUUGCACAAUGGAGGGAACUCUGAUGCAGCGACGCCGCGUGAACGAAGAAGGCUUUCGAGUCGUAAAGUUCUUUUAGAUGGGAAGAUAAUGACGGUACCAUAAGAAAAAGCCCCGGCUAACUACGUGCCAGCAGCCGCGGUAAUACGUAGGGGGCUAGCGUUGUCCGGAAUCACUGGGCGUAAAGGGUUCGCAGGCGGAAAUGCAAGUCAGGGGUAAAAGGCAGUAGCUUAACUACUGUAAGCCUUUGAAACUGCAUAUCUUGAGAAGAGUAGAGGUAAGUGGAAUUUUUUGUGUAGCGGUGAAAUGCGUAGAUAUUAAAAAGAAUACCGGUGGCGAAGGCGACUUACUGGGCUCAUUCUGACGCUGAGGAACGAAAGCGUGGGUAGCAAACAGG